CCUCAGACGGCGGGAGAUCGUGCAGC
RNAcentral lists this non-coding RNA (26 nucleotides) under Homo sapiens (human). The record is from RNAcentral. Lineage: Eukaryota; Metazoa; Chordata; Mammalia; Primates; Hominidae.